This 309-nucleotide ribosomal RNA is filed under the name Triticum aestivum (bread wheat). Its description in RNAcentral is "partial small subunit ribosomal RNA". The record is from RNAcentral. Lineage: Eukaryota; Viridiplantae; Streptophyta; Magnoliopsida; Poales; Poaceae.
AUGGCGGCCCUAUGUAGUCAUAAAAUUAGGAACCUGAAGGGAAAAUGGAAGGCACCUUUGAUCGACAUUCAGCCUAGAAAACAAAAACAAAACAGUGGAGCUGAAGCAGAUGGUUUGUUGAUUUAUGAUGGUGCAGAUCUUGGAAACAAUUCAACUGGGCACCACGGCGCUGAAUUGAAGUACACGCAUUCAUUGGCCUCCACUUGUGCGCCAAUCUAUGAUGCCUGCGCCCGCGGUGUCAGGUCACGCUCUGCUGCAAUUGUGCAUGCCGCCUCUACGCGACCCCAUCAAGGAAUACAGCCCAACUGA